AUCACCUGGGGACCUUGUUAAAAAUGCAGAUUCUGAUCCAGGAGGUCUGGGCUGGGGCCCAAAGUUCUGCAUUUUUAACAGGCACCCAGGUGACGUUAA
Molecule: microRNA precursor, 99 nt
Filed under: Felis catus (domestic cat)
Lineage: Eukaryota; Metazoa; Chordata; Mammalia; Carnivora; Felidae
Description: mir-544 microRNA precursor family
Rfam family: mir-544 microRNA precursor family
Source: Rfam by way of RNAcentral